AUUAAACUCUGCAGGAGAAAACACCAACCUGACAGCUAUCACAUACAUCUUUCUCAUUUCAGACUAGAAACCUGUUUCUCAGCAUAGCUCCCAACCAUACCCAUAAUAGGAUGCCAUGAUAUAUGACAGUCUAGUGGUUGCAUGAUGUCAAAAACAUGCUGUUUGGAAGCCAAUGCCAGAGUUAUGUGGCCUUGUCACAUAUUUCUUGGCCAACACCUUUUCUCUUCUGACCCAGGUCCAUCAUCAGUAGGCUCAAACUUACUGGAUCUGUUAUCUCAAGCAUUUUCAUGAGUUGCAGUCAAUGAAGUCCCACCGUGGUGCAAAUAAAAUUAAAAAAAAAUAAAGUGAGUCAUUUUGCAGACAAAAAAAUUAAACAUUUUGCAUAUCAUUAUACACCUAGUUUUAAAAAAAAUACAACAAAGGUUUGGUCAUGUGAAUAAUUGUAGGGUGCAUGCUUCAUAUGCUUGAGGCCCUGAGUUCAUUCCUCAGCAACAAAAAUAAAUGUAUAUGAUAUAUGUACACAUGUAAUAAGCAUUGAAAUAUUGAAUAUACUUUGGCAUCAAAAUUAAAGAGAGCUCAACAUAGUUAACUGAUUCUUCCUGUAAGCUUACAGGAUACAUGAGCAUUCCUCAUAGCCUGCACAGAAGGAUAAUAUGCAGAUCAUUUAUAUUCAAAAUCUCAAAUGCAGCCACUUGUGUAGUUAAGAAGAGAAGUAAAUACUUCUUUCUUCAAUUAAUUUGCUUAUAAAUAAUGUUGCUUAAAAUAUUGAACAAGUUUUUAUUUGUCUACUGUGCUUUAUAAGGAAGUUAGUUUAAAAACAUAAGGGAUUAAAAAAAAACAUACAGACUAGCAAAAAGCAGAAGUUAUCUUUUCAUGGAAAACAUAUUUUAAAUGAGGCUACUAGGUGUGGUGGCACAUGUCUGUAAUCCCA
Molecule: long non-coding RNA, 931 nt
Filed under: Marmota monax (woodchuck)
Lineage: Eukaryota; Metazoa; Chordata; Mammalia; Rodentia; Sciuridae
Source: RNAcentral